RNAcentral lists this ribosomal RNA (357 nucleotides) under uncultured bacterium. RNAcentral's name for it is "bacterial SSU rRNA". It matches the Rfam family "Bacterial small subunit ribosomal RNA", at positions 29 to 416 of the family's 1533-position model. The record is from RNAcentral.
AACGAACGCUGGCGGCAGGCCUAACACAUGCAAGUCGAACGCUGUAGCAAUACAGAGUGGCAGACGGGUGAGUAACGCGUGGGAACCUUCCCAGUGGUGCGGAAUAGCUCAGGGAAACUUGAGGUAAUACCGCAUAAGCCCCUAGGGGAAAGAUUAUCGCCAUUGGAUGGGCCCGCGUCGGAUUAGCUAGUUGGUGAGGUAAUGGCUCACCAAGGCAACGACCGUAGCUGGUUUGAGAGAAUGACCAGCCACACUGGGACUGAGACACGGCCCAGACUCCUACGGGAGGCAGCAGUGGGGAAUCUUGGACAAUGGGCGCAAGCCUGAUCCAGCCAUGCCGCGUGAGUGACGAAGGCC